GUACAGUCUCUCCCUCUCUCUCUCCAUACACACAGUAUUAGUGUCAGUGCGCACUAUACACUGUGUAUCCAUGUUACAUACUAUGUGUACUGUCUCUCCCUCUCUCUCCAUACACACAGUAUUAGUGUCAGUGCGCACUAUACACUGUGUAUCCAUAUUACAUACUAUGUGUACAGUCUCUCCCUCUCUCUCUCCAUACACACAGAAUUAGUGUCAGUGCGCACUAUACACUGUGUAUCCAUGUUACAUACUAUGUGUACAGUCUCUCCCUCUCUCUCCAUACACACAGUAUUAGUGUCAGUGCGCACUAUACACUGUGUAUCCAUAUUACAGACUAUGUGUACAGUCUCUCCCUCUCUCUCCAUACACACAGUAUUAGUGUCAGUGCGCACUAUACACUGUGUAUCCAUGUUACAGACUAUGUGUACAGUCUCUCCCUCUCUCUCUCCAUACACACAGUAUUAGUGUCAGUGCGCACUAUACACUGUGUAUCCAUGUUACAUACUAUGUGUACUGUCUCUCCCUCUCUCUCCAUACACACAGUAUUAGUGUCAGUGCGCACUAUACACUGUGUAUCCAUGUUACAGACUAUGUGUACUGUCUCUCCCUCUCUCUCCAUACACACAGUAUUAGUGUCAGUGCGCACUAUACACUGUGUAUCCAUGUUACAUACUAUGUGUACAGUCUCUCCCUCUCUCUCCAUACACACAGUAUUAGUGUCAGUGCGCACUAUACACUGUGUAUCCAUAUUACAGACUAUGUGUACAGUCUCUCCCUCUCUCUCCAUACACACAGUAUUAGUGUCAGUGCGCACUAUACACUGUGUAUCCAUAUUACAGACUAUGUGUACUGUCUCUCCCUCUCUCUCCAUACACACAGUAUUAGUGUCAGUGCGCACUAUACACUGUGUAUCCAUGUUACAUACUAUGUGUACUGUCUCUCCCUCUCUCUCUCCAUACACACAGUAUUAGUGUCAGUGCGCACUAUACACUGUGUAUCCAUAUUACAUACUAUGUGUACAGUCUCUCCCUCUCUCUCCAUACACACAGUAUUAGUGUCAGUGCGCACUAUACACUGUGUAUCCAUAUUACAGACUAUGUGUACAGUCUCUCCCUCUCUCUCCAUACACACAGUAUUAGUGUCAGUGCGCACUAUACACUGUGUAUCCAUGUUACAUACUAUGUGUACAGUCUCUCCCUCUCUCUCCAUACACACAGAAUUAGUGUCAGUGCGCACUAUACACUGUGUAUCCAUAUUACAUACUAUGUGUACAGUCUCUCCCUCUCUCUCCAUACACACAGUAUUAGUGUCAGUGCGCACUAUACACUGUGUAUCCAUAUUACAUACUAUGUGUACAGUCUCUCCCUCUCUCUCCAUACACACAGUAU
Molecule: non-coding RNA, 1388 nt
Organism: Pelobates cultripes (western spadefoot toad)
Lineage: Eukaryota; Metazoa; Chordata; Amphibia; Anura; Pelobatidae
Source: the annotation of a GenBank genome assembly